Molecule: long non-coding RNA, 875 nt
Organism: Solanum stenotomum
Lineage: Eukaryota; Viridiplantae; Streptophyta; Magnoliopsida; Solanales; Solanaceae
Exons: 3
Source: RefSeq, a predicted model, not a curated record
UUAGUAAUGUUGUUAUAAUAAUGUAAGAAAUCAAUAAUGUAGUUAAUUGCUGGAUCAAAAUUCAAAAAUGUUGGGCCCGUGCUUAGCAUGGGCCAUCACCGAUCUAGCUUAUUUAGAAAUGAGACUUGGGUUGGACGAACACGGCAGCAGAUAGUAGACCAAAUGUUACGGGAGAUGUAUUAUCUACAAUUUAACUUUUUUAAGCUUUUGCCUUCUCACACAGACACGUGUAUUUGCACUUAAAUUAUAAUGUUUUGUUUCUUUUUGGACAUUUUGCCUACCUUUUCAAUUUUUGUUUCCAAGUCUCUUUUUUCAGUCUUUUUCCUGCUUUCACUUACAUCUUCUCUCUUCUUUGUUUAUUAAUGCUCUCUGCAAAUUACAAACUACAAAAAUUUUGAGAUUCAGGCAAUUCUUUGCAGGCAAAACUCUUCGUGAUUUGGUUCAUCUGGUUGAAAGUUAUGUCUUUCACACGCUAAAGAUGCUUUCGAGUACUAUUAACAAGCUUAUGUUCUUGCUCUCAAGUUUCAAGGGUGUUUGACUGUUUGUGUUCUUACUGCCGAUGUUUUCAAGCAAUAGCUUAUAGGUAUUAAUGAUAAUGAUGUCUAUGGAAGGUGAUGGAUCCUAAUUGUCGCAAAUUUUUGCUCGAUAGUUUAUGUUUCAUCAUAUAACCAAAGUACUUGUACAUUCAAUAAGAUAUUUUGGUUGAAGAAUAGUGUUGACUACUAAUGACCUAUGUCAGAGUAGAGAGAAAAUGUAAUAGCACAUUUGAUGAUAUGUAGUAUAUACAUUUGAUUUAUGGAUGAUCUUUAUGUACUUUGUUAUAAUAUAUAAAAUUCCCGAAUCAGACACAUAUUGUACAGAACUAUCGGUUAUUA